GCCGCCGCCAAGCGCCGGGGAUAGAGGCUGCCGCGCGCCGGGCGCCGAGAUGCUGCGGCGCGGCCGCCACCGCCCGCACCCACCGACCCCGAGCCCGGGCCGGCUGGGUCUGGGGUGCGCGGCAGGGGCGCGGGAUGAGUCGGAAGAGGCCGACCUGGGGCCGCAGGAAGGGUGGUCUUGCCUGCGGAGUUGCAGCUAGAGGACGGAAAGUUUUUGCAUGCAGCCCUUCCAGCACGUCCUUGCCUCGCAGGGUCCCUGUCGUACACGAUGCGACCCCCCCGCGGGAAUUCCCGCGGCUCAACGGGGAGGAACUGAGGAGGGUUGCAUCCCUCCUCAGCCAACGACACCCCAAGCCAGUGAGGCGACCCAGGUGACCUCUCCUACCAGCCACCACUCACUUCACCCUUUCUCCUAUUUCGCGCUGGACCUUGGGCCGUGGAGGAUUCUGAGGAUGCCUUUGGGAGGCGAGACCAUUGGUUAAACGGAAGUGGUUCUAUAGAGCAGGCAGAGAACCACUUGCUCUGGGAUCACUGCAGCGGGGGAGCGAAUUCACUGGCUUUCGGAAGAUGCUGCCCAGCUAGCCGGCCGAGCUCCUGGAACAGUUCCCAGCGCUCUCUACCCUGAGCCGAGGGUGAGCGGAUUAGCGCGAGCAACCUGCGGCCGAAGUGUGAUACCUGCAGGAGUCCUCUUCUGGUUUAACUGCUUGCUCCAGCCAGCAGGAAAGGAAAGCGGGAGCUGCGAUAACUUGAGGGUGUCAUGUCAACCUUGUCUCAUGUACCAGCUGAACCCAGUGACACCAGCAUCUUGGAUUCUGACAGAUGGGGUGUUACUACUGACCCACCUGGGCAGUGCCCCAGGGCUGGAACUUGGGGCUCUGAAAGUGCUUCAUUUGCAGUGUGGGCUGGCCAGGGAGGCAGCUGGAUGCCUCAGGUUGGAACCCCAUGCCCGCAUCUCUUACACAGUGGUUCCCAAACUUCAGCUUCAGUCUGAGUGGAGGACCUGCCCCCAGAAAUUCGGAUUCAGUAGGUCUGGGACAGGGAUGGGAAUUUGCGUUUCUAGCCAGUUCCCAGAUCGUACUGGUGCUGCUCUUGGGAGAUCACACUUCGAGAAUCACAAGGCUACUUCGGAGCCCCAUUGCUAACUGAUGGAGCUUUUCCUCUUCAGUUCUUUCUGUAAAGGUGUGCCCUGAGGACCUUCAGAUUUGGGGAGACAAACGGAGCAAACAACCCAAAUAUCCAUCAACAGAAGAAUGGAUAAACACCAGGUGGUACAUCCAUACAAUGGAAUAUUAUUCAACUAUAAAAAGGAAUGGACUUCUGAUCCAUGGUACCACAUGAAUGAUCCUUGAAAACAUUAUGCUAAUUGAAAGUAACCAGUCACAUAAAGCCACAUAUUGCAUAACUCCAUGUAUAUGAAAUGUCCAGAAUAAGCAAAUUCAUAGAGACAGAAAGCAAACUGGUGGGUGCCAGGAGGUAGGAGGGAGUGGGGACUGACAGCUUAUUGGGUGUUCAUUUGGGAUGAAAAAUUUGUGGAUGAUGGUUGCACAACAUUGUGAAUGUACUUUGUACUAUUGAAUUGUGCCCUUUAAAAUGGUUAAAAUGGUCAAUUUUGUGUUACAUGUGUUUUAUUACAGUAAAAAAAUAAAAAUAAAAAGAGUGAAUGUAGCACUGUUCUAACACAAAUUGUGGGACCAGUUGAAAAGCUUAUUGGAAAUUACUGGAAAUGCAUAAGUCCUAACCCGGUGAUUAGUGAUUCUCAGCCCUUAUUUUGUGAAGAAUCACCUGGGGAGCUUUUAUACCACACCCUUGUCUCAGCUACAUCUAAGACCAUUUAAAUCAAAAUCUCUGGAGGUGAGGCAUAGGCAUAGCAAUUUUUUUAUUUCACUCCCAGAUGAUUCUAAUGUACAACUAGGACUGAGAACAGUGGCCUUAAAUCUCAAGGGCCAGAUGGGCUGAUGACAUGUACCAAUGGACUCAAACUUUAUCACAGACAAUGUACCUUCAUCUUAUCCCAGGCUGGCUUGCAAGGGGUGUGUAGAGUAGAAUCAGGAGGCUGGAAUCAUUUUGAAAACAGGUUCCAUAACCAGCUGGCUGUGUGACCUUGGGCCAACCACAUAACCUCUCUGAGGUUUUGUUUUUGCAUGUGGAAAGUAGGAGUCUGUUUUCUCUUACAAAAAGAACACAUUUCUUGGGGUUUUUGUAAGGCUUACAUGAAACUGGCCAGUUUCCCAGUUCUAACAGUGUCAUACACUGUUUUGUCAUCCUAACAUCAGACUGGAAGGAGUCAUGUUAUCCGGUUGUCUUCUGCUAGACUGGAAAGAAGUGGCUUAUUUGUGUGACAGGCCUAGCAUUGCAAUACUCUUGUUCUGUAAGUUCAAUUUUCUCCCUCCACUUGAGGGGUGGGACACAUUUAGAUUAGGAGUUAGUGAUGAGGGCCUCUCAAAGCCAUAAUAUCUAAGUGGAGAGGACUUGCAGGAGAGACUUGAAAGAAUAUGCAAGAGGUGAGCCUGAUAGAAAUCCUUUCUGUGCUCAUGCUCAGACUUUCUUUUGUGUACCAAGCUUUAUAAGGAUGUGAAUAUCUUAGAGUACUGAGAUAAAAACAAAUAAAAUUCACCCGCAAAUACCUACCAAUAAAUGAAACUAGAUUUUUUCAUGUUUCUGUUUGGUUUUUAUUCGUAGGUAAUCUAUUUUUAUUCAACAACAUU
Long non-coding RNA from Manis javanica (Malayan pangolin), 2704 nucleotides. RefSeq lists it as uncharacterized. The record is from RefSeq and is a predicted model, not a curated record. NCBI's taxonomy places the organism in Eukaryota, Metazoa, Chordata, Mammalia, Pholidota, Manidae.